RNAcentral lists this long non-coding RNA (211 nucleotides) under Arabidopsis lyrata. RNAcentral describes it as "long non-coding RNA (ALYR_LNC000064)". Lineage: Eukaryota; Viridiplantae; Streptophyta; Magnoliopsida; Brassicales; Brassicaceae. The record is from RNAcentral.
GGUAAGAGGUUAAAUUGUUCUAAGUCCUACAUUAACCAAUAUAUAUGUCCUUGUUUGGUCAAAGCUCUUUCUAUUUUACGAGAGCCAACGACUUUGGGAUUUGGGAUAUCAAACUACCAUGUAAGCUGCUUACCGUAAGCAUGACGUACAAAGUAUAGUCUCGAAUGAAUGUAAUUAAACUUAUACUACAAUAUAUCUGGGGAAAUAAUUG